This 741-nucleotide ribosomal RNA is filed under the name uncultured bacterium. RNAcentral's name for it is "bacterial SSU rRNA". It matches the Rfam family "Bacterial small subunit ribosomal RNA", at positions 38 to 775 of the family's 1533-position model. The record is from RNAcentral.
GGCGGCGGGCCUAACACAUGCAAGUCGAGCGGUAGAGAGAAGCUUGCUUCUCUUGAGAGCGGCGGACGGGUGAGUAAUGCCUAGGAAUCUGCCUGGUAGUGGGGGAUAACGUUCGGAAACGGACGCUAAUACCGCAUACGUCCUACGGGAGAAAGCAGGGGACCUUCGGGCCUUGCGCUAUCAGAUGAGCCUAGGUCGGAUUAGCUAGUUGGUGAGGUAAUGGCUCACCAAGGCGACGAUCCGUAACUGGUCUGAGAGGAUGAUCAGUCACACUGGAACUGAGACACGGUCCAGACUCCUACGGGAGGCAGCAGUGGGGAAUAUUGGACAAUGGGCGAAAGCCUGAUCCAGCCAUGCCGCGUGUGUGAAGAAGGUCUUCGGAUUGUAAAGCACUUUAAGUUGGGAGGAAGGGUUGUAGAUUAAUACUCUGCAAUUUUGACGUUACCGACAGAAUAAGCACCGGCUACUCUGUGCCAGCAGCCGCGGUAAUACAGAGGGUGCUAGCGUUAAUCGGAAUUACUGGGCGUAAAGCGCGCGUAGGUGGUUUGUUAAGUUGGAUGUGAAAUCCCCGGGCUCAACCUGGGAACUGCAUUCAAAACUGACUGACUAGAGUAUGGUAGAGGGUGGUGGAAUUUCCUGUGUAGCGGUGAAAUGCGUAGAUAUAGGAAGGAACACCAGUGGCGAAGGCGACCACCUGGACUAAUACUGACACUGAGGUGCGAAAGCGUGGGGAGCAAACAG